Molecule: ribosomal RNA, 490 nt
Filed under: uncultured bacterium
Lineage: Bacteria
Description: partial 16S ribosomal RNA
Rfam family: Bacterial small subunit ribosomal RNA
Source: RNAcentral
AAUGAACGCUGGCGGCAUGCUUUACACAUGCAAGUCGAACGGCAGCAUGACCUAGCUUGCUAGGUUGAUGGCGAGUGGCGAACGGGUGAGUAAUGCAUCGGAACGUGCCUUUUAGUGGGGGAUAACGUAGCGAAAGUUACGCUAAUACCGCAUAUUCUCUGAGGAGGAAAGCAGGGGGCCUUCGGGCCUUGCGCUAGAAGAGCGGCCGAUGUCGGAUUAGCUAGUUGGUGAGGUAAAGGCUCACCAAGGCAACGAUCCGUAGCGGGUCUGAGAGGAUGAUCCGCCACACUGGGACUGAGACACGGCCCAGACUCCUACGGGAGGCAGCAGUGGGGAAUUUUGGACAAUGGGCGCAAGCCUGAUCCAGCCAUGCCGCGUGAGUGAAGAAGGCCUUCGGGUUGUAAAGCUCUUUCGGCUGGGAAGAAAUCGCACUCUCUAAUACAGGGUGUGGAUGACGGUACCAGCAUAAGAAGCACCGGCUAACUACGUG